UACGAAGGGGGCUAGCGUUGCUCGGAAUUACUGGGCGUAAAGGGCGCGUAGGCGGAUGUUUAAGUCAGAGGUCAAAUCCCGGGGCUCAACCUCGGAACUGCCUUUGAUACUGGACAUCUAGAGUACGGGAGAGGUGUGUGGAACUCCGAGUGUAGAGGUGAAAUUCGUAGAUAUUCGGAAGAACACCAGUGGCGAAGGCGACACACUGGCCCGUUACUGACGCUGAGGCGCGAAAGCGUGGGGAUCAAACAGG
This 253-nucleotide ribosomal RNA is filed under the name uncultured prokaryote. RNAcentral describes it as "partial 16S ribosomal RNA". It matches the Rfam family "Bacterial small subunit ribosomal RNA", at positions 524 to 776 of the family's 1533-position model. The record is from RNAcentral.